This 754-nucleotide ribosomal RNA is filed under the name Macrobrachium shokitai. RNAcentral describes it as "bacterial SSU rRNA". It matches the Rfam family "Eukaryotic small subunit ribosomal RNA", at positions 547 to 1268 of the family's 1831-position model. Lineage: Eukaryota; Metazoa; Arthropoda; Malacostraca; Decapoda; Palaemonidae. The record is from RNAcentral.
AUUGGAGGGCAAGUCUGGUGCCAGCAGCCGCGGUAAUUCCAGCUCCAAUAGCGUAUAUUAAAGUUGUUGCGGUUAAAAAGCUCGUAGUUGGAGUUCAGUUUCGGACUGGGGUGGGAGGUCACCGCCCGGUGCUUCCCCUCUAGGCUCCGAACAGCUUUCUUUAUUGGAAGCCAAGCCGAUUCUUGAUGGGUGCUCUUUACCGAGUGUCCGUUUGGGGCGGCCAGUUCACCUUGAAUAAAUGAGAGUGCUCAAAGCAGGCUACUCUGGAAUACAAUGCCCGAAUGUUAACUGCAUGGAAUGAUGGAAGAUGAUCUCGGUUCCAUUUUGUUGGUUCAGGGAGCCAGAGGUAAUGAUAAAGAGGGACUGUCGGGGGCAUCCGUACUACGACGCGAGAGGUGAAAUUCAGUGACCGUCGUAGGACGAACAACAGCGAAAGCAUUUGCCAAGAAUGUCUUCGUUGAUCAAGAACGAAAGUUAGAGGAUCGAAGGCGAUCAGAUACCGCCCUAGUUCUAACCCUAAACGAUGCUGACUAGCAAUUCGCCGUCGUUAUUCCCAUGACGUGGCGAGACGCCCCCGGGAAACCUCAAGUUUUUGAGUUCCGGGGGUAGUAUGGUUGCAAAAGUGAAACUUAAAGGAAUUGACGGAAGGGCACCACCAGGAGUGGAGCCUGCGGCUUAAUUUGACUCAACACGGGAAAGCUGACCAGGCCCGGACACCAGAAGGAUUGACAGAUUAAGAGCUCUUUCUCGAUUU